This 397-nucleotide long non-coding RNA is filed under the name Parus major (Great Tit). RNAcentral's name for it is "lncRNA (ENSPMJG00000010416.1)". Lineage: Eukaryota; Metazoa; Chordata; Aves; Passeriformes; Paridae. The record is from RNAcentral.
UGGACUCAGGGCUGAGAGCUGGCACAGGGCAUUCUCUCUCUCCUGUCUCAGUAAAUUAGGGUGUGUGACUGUGUUUUGUGCUGUUACAUGUGGCUAGUAUCUCCUGCUGGCUAUCUGCAGGCAAUUCCUGGCAGAGUGGGAUUUCUGAGCAGCCCUUUGGAAGUGCCUUAAAGCCUCCAAAUCUGUGGAGUCCUGUUCCUGAUGGGAUUUUAGAUUCGGUGGUGGUGACAGUGCAUUAUAUUUAGUUUCCAGUUCUGGAGUCAUGACAACUUUGCUGAAUAACACCAAGAGAAUGCAGCUGAAGUCUGGAGGAGAAUGUAUUUCACUAUUGACCCAUCUGUUACAUCAGACAGGCAUUAAGGAUAUGAUCCCACAUUUUUUUGAUAUACAUUCAUGA